AACGAACGCUGGCGGCAGGCCUAACACAUGCAAGUCGAACGCCCUGGCAACAGGGAGUGGCAGACGGGUGAGUAACGCGUGGGAACGUGCCCUUCGGUUCGGAAUAACUCAGGGAAACUUGAGCUAAUACCGGAUACGUGCGAGAGCAGAAAGAUUUAUCGCCGAAGGAUCGGCCCGCGUCCGAUUAGCUAGUUGGUGAGGUAACGGCUCACCAAGGCGACGAUCGGUAGCUGGUCUGAGAGGAUGAUCAGCCACACUGGGACUGAGGCACGGCCCAGACUCCUACGGGAGGCAGCAGUGGGGAAUAUUGGACAAUGGGCGCAAGCCUGAUCCAGCCAUGCCGCGUGAGUGAUGAAGGCCCUAGGGUUGUAAAGCUCUUUCGCCAGGGACGAUAAUGACGGUACCUGGAUAAGAAGCCCCGGCUAACUUCGUGCCAGCAGCCGCCGCAG
RNAcentral lists this ribosomal RNA (449 nucleotides) under uncultured bacterium. RNAcentral describes it as "partial 16S ribosomal RNA". It matches the Rfam family "Bacterial small subunit ribosomal RNA", at positions 29 to 523 of the family's 1533-position model. The record is from RNAcentral.